AGCGAACGCUGGCGGCAGGCUUAACACAUGCAAGUCGAGCGGGCACCUUCGGGUGUCAGCGGCAGACGGGUGAGUAACACGUGGGAACGUACCCUUUGGUUCGGAACAACUCUGGGAAACUGGAGCUAAUAUCGGAUACGCCCUUGGGGAAAGGUUUACCGCCGAAGGAUCGGCCCGCGUCUGAUUAGCUAGUUGGUGAGGUAACGGCUCACCAAGGCGACGAUCAGUAGCUGGUCUGAGAGGAUGAUCAGCCACACUGGGACUGAGACACGGCCCAGACUCCUACGGGAGGCAGCAGUGGGGAAUAUUGGACAAUGGGCGCAAGCCUGAUCCAGCCAUGCCGCGUGAGUGAUGAAGGCCUUAGGGUUGUAAAGCUCUUUUGUCCGGACGAUAAUGACGGUACCGGAAGAAUAAGCCCCGGCUAACUUCGUGCCAGCAGCCGCGGUAA
This 448-nucleotide ribosomal RNA is filed under the name uncultured bacterium. RNAcentral's name for it is "bacterial SSU rRNA". It matches the Rfam family "Bacterial small subunit ribosomal RNA", at positions 29 to 523 of the family's 1533-position model. The record is from RNAcentral.